UAAAAAUUAGUUAAUUUAUAAUAUAAAUAUGUCAUAUUUAAGUAAUUUAAUUUUAAUAAAUAUUUUUAU
This 69-nucleotide transfer RNA is filed under the name Lamennaisia nobilis. Its description in RNAcentral is "tRNA-Asp". The record is from RNAcentral. RNAcentral also lists the same sequence under 1 other name. Lineage: Eukaryota; Metazoa; Arthropoda; Insecta; Hymenoptera; Encyrtidae.